This 450-nucleotide ribosomal RNA is filed under the name uncultured bacterium. RNAcentral's name for it is "bacterial SSU rRNA". It matches the Rfam family "Bacterial small subunit ribosomal RNA", at positions 354 to 796 of the family's 1533-position model. The record is from RNAcentral.
GUGGGGAAUAUUGGACAAUGGGCGAAAGCCUGAUCCAGCCAUGCCGCGUGUGUGAAGAAGGUCUUCGGAUUGUAAAGCACUUUAAGUUGGGAGGAAGGGCAGAAAGUUAAUACCUUGCUGUUUUGACGUUACCAACAGAAUAAGCACCGGCUAACUUCGUGCCAGCAGCCGCGGUAAUACGAAGGGUGCAAGCGUUAAUCGGAAUUACUGGGCGUAAAGCGCGCGUAGGUGGUUCAGCAAGUUGGAGGUGAAAUCCCCGGGCUCAACCUGGGAACUGCCUCCAAAAAUACUGAGCUAGAGUACGGUAGAGGGUAGUGGAAUUUCCUGUGUAGCGGUGAAAUGCGUAGAUAUAGGAAGGAACACCAGUGGCGAAGGCGACUACCUGGACUGAUACUGACACUGAGGUGCGAAAGCGUGGGGAGCAAACAGGAUUAGAUACCCCGGUAGUCC